RNAcentral lists this ribosomal RNA (492 nucleotides) under uncultured bacterium. RNAcentral's name for it is "partial 16S ribosomal RNA". It matches the Rfam family "Bacterial small subunit ribosomal RNA", at positions 29 to 507 of the family's 1533-position model. The record is from RNAcentral.
AGUGAACGCUGGCGGUAGGCCUAACACAUGCAAGUCGAACGGCAGCACAGUAAGAGCUUGCUCUUACGGGUGGCGAGUGGCGGACGGGUGAGGAAUACAUCGGAAUCUACUUUUUCGUGGGGGAUAACGUAGGGAAACUUACGCUAAUACCGCAUACGACCUACGGGUGAAAGCAGGGGAUCUUCGGACCUUGCGCGAUUGAAUGAGCCGAUGUCGGAUUAGCUAGUUGGCAGGGUAAAGGCCCACCAAGGCGACGAUCCGUAGCUGGUCUGAGAGGAUGAUCAGCCACACUGGAACUGAGACACGGUCCAGACUCCUACGGGAGGCAGCAGUGGGGAAUAUUGGACAAUGGGCGCAAGCCUGAUCCAGCCAUACCGCGUGGGUGAAGAAGGCCUUCGGGUUGUAAGGCCCUUUUGUUGGGAAAGAAAAGCAGCAGGUUAAUACCCCGCUGUUCUGACGGUACCCAAAGAAUAAGCACCGGCUAACUUCGUG